GCCACCGUAGCUCAGUUGGUAGAGCAACUGAUUCGUAAUCAGUAGGUCAGCGGUUCAAAUCCGCUCGGUGGCU
Molecule: transfer RNA, 73 nt
Filed under: Caldithrix abyssi
Lineage: Bacteria; Pseudomonadati; Calditrichota; Calditrichia; Calditrichales; Calditrichaceae
Description: tRNA-Thr
Rfam family: tRNA
About the family: Transfer RNA (tRNA) molecules are approximately 80 nucleotides in length. Their secondary structure includes four short double-helical elements and three loops (D, anti-codon, and T loops).
Source: RNAcentral